GACGAACGCUGGCGGCGUGCUUAACACAUGCAAGUCGAACGGAAAGGCCCUGCUUUUGUGGGGUGCUCGAGUGGCGAACGGGUGAGUAACAGGUGAGUAACCUGCCCUUGACUUUGGGAUAACUUCAGGAAACUGGGGCUAAUACCGGAUAGGAGCUCCUGCUGCAUGGUGGGGGUUGGAAAGUUUCGGCGGUUGGGGAUGGACUAGCGGCUUAUCAGCUUGUUGGUGGGGUAGUGGCUUACCAAGGCUUUGACGGGUAGCCGGCCUGAGAGGGUGAACGGCCACAUUAGGACUGAGAUACGGCCCAGCCUCCUACGGGAGGCAGCAGUGGGGAAUAUUGCACAAUGGGCGGAAGCCUGAUGCAGCAACGCCGCGUGCGGGAUGACGGCCUUCGGGUUGUAAACCGCUUUCGCCUGUGACGACGCGUGAGUGACGGUAAUGGGUAAAGAAGCACCGGCUAACUACGUG
Molecule: ribosomal RNA, 468 nt
Filed under: uncultured bacterium
Lineage: Bacteria
Description: partial 16S ribosomal RNA
Rfam family: Bacterial small subunit ribosomal RNA
Source: RNAcentral